GACGAACGCUGGCGGCGUGCUUAACACAUGCAAGUCGAACGAAGAGCGACGGAAGCUUGCUUCUAUCAAUCUUAGUGGCGAACGGGUGAGUAACGCGUAAUCAACCUGCCCUUCAGAGGGGGACAACAGUUGGAAACGACUGCUAAUACCGCAUACGAUCUAAUCUCGUCAUCGAGGAUGGAUGAACGGUGGCCUCUACAUGUAAGCUAUCACUGAAGGAGGGGAUUGCGUCUGAUUAGCUAGUGGGUGGGGUAACGGCCCACCAAGGCGAUGAUCAGUAGCCGGUCUGAGAGGAGGAACGGCCACAUUGGGACUGAGACACGGGCCAGAAUCCUACGGGAGGCAGCAGUGGGGAAUCUUCCGCAAAGGACGAAAGUCUGACGGAGCAACGCCGCGGGAGGGAUGACGGCCUUCGGGUUGUAAAGCUCUGUUAAUCGGGACGAAAGGCCUUCUUGCGAAUAGGGAGAAGGAUUGACGGUACCGGAAUAGAAAGCCACGGCUAACUACGUG
RNAcentral lists this ribosomal RNA (510 nucleotides) under uncultured bacterium. RNAcentral describes it as "partial 16S ribosomal RNA". It matches the Rfam family "Bacterial small subunit ribosomal RNA", at positions 28 to 507 of the family's 1533-position model. The record is from RNAcentral.